RNAcentral lists this ribosomal RNA (329 nucleotides) under uncultured bacterium. Its description in RNAcentral is "bacterial SSU rRNA". It matches the Rfam family "Bacterial small subunit ribosomal RNA", at positions 28 to 334 of the family's 1533-position model. The record is from RNAcentral.
GACGAACGCUGGCAGCGUGCUUAACACAUGCAAGUCGAACGAAGAGCGAUGGAAGCUUGCUUCUAUCAAUCUUAGUGGCGAACGGGUGAGUAACGCGUAAUCAACCUGCCCUUCAGAGGGGGACAACAGUUGGAAACGACUGCUAAUACCGCAUACGAUUUGACCUUGGCAUCGAGGAUGAAUGAAAGGUGGCCUCUAUUUAUAAGCUAUCACUGAAGGAGGGGAUUGCGUCUGAUUAGCUAGUUGGAGGGGUAACGGCCCACCAAGGCGAUGAUCAGUAGCCGGUCUGAGAGGAUGAACGGCCACAUUGGGACUGAGACACGGCCCAG